UACGUAGGGCGCAAGCGUUGUUCGGAUUUACUGGGCGUAAAGGGCGCGUAGGCGGCGUGUUAAGUCAGCUGUGAAAUCUCCAAGCUCAACUUGGAACGGCCAGCUGAUACUGAUGUGCUAGAGUGCAGAAGGGGCAAUCGGAAUUCUUGGUGUAGCGGUGAAAUGCGUAGAUAUCAAGAGGAACACCUGAGGUGAAGACGGGUUGCUGGGCUGACACUGACGCUGAGGCGCGAAAGCCAGGGGAGCAAAC
This 250-nucleotide ribosomal RNA is filed under the name uncultured bacterium. RNAcentral's name for it is "partial 16S ribosomal RNA". It matches the Rfam family "Bacterial small subunit ribosomal RNA", at positions 524 to 773 of the family's 1533-position model. The record is from RNAcentral.